Molecule: long non-coding RNA, 412 nt
Filed under: Nicotiana benthamiana
Lineage: Eukaryota; Viridiplantae; Streptophyta; Magnoliopsida; Solanales; Solanaceae
Description: long non-coding RNA (NBEN_LNC023854)
Source: RNAcentral
UUUUAAACUCUCUUAAGUUCAAGCCCUAAAUCACCAUUUUUGACCUUUAAAUUCCUCGAUUAUUCAGUCUAAAUCCAUAUUUUUACACCAUAAAAUCAUAUUCUAAGUCCAAGAAUCCAUACUUGGUUAAAGCCCUCGAAACCCUCUUCAAAAUCGCCAUAAACCUCUUCAAGGGCGAAGUUCAAAAUGUUGUUCUUUAAAAAAUUCGUGAAGAAGACUAUUUCACUUAACUGCCCAGGCAAUUCCACUUCUGCGGUAAAAAUGUCGCUUCUGCGACUUGCACAUCUGCAGUCCUUCACUUAAGGGCCUUGACCGCUUCUGCACCCCAAUUAACGCACCAGCGGGACCACUUCUGCGGUCCAGGCUCCCGCUUCUGCAAAACCUGCUCAAACUCCAAGCUCGUAUCUGUGGC